Molecule: ribosomal RNA, 253 nt
Filed under: uncultured bacterium
Lineage: Bacteria
Description: partial 16S ribosomal RNA
Rfam family: Bacterial small subunit ribosomal RNA
Source: RNAcentral
UACGAAGGGGGCUAGCGUUGUUCGGAAUUACUGGGCGUAAAGCGCGCGCAGGCGGCUAUCCAAGUCAGUGGUGAAAGCCCGGAGCUUAACUCCGGAACUGCCAUUGAAACUGUUUAGCUUGAGGACGAGAGAGGUGAGUGGAAUUCCCAGUGUAGAGGUGAAAUUCGUAGAUAUCGGGAGGAACACCGGUGGCGAAGGCGGUUCUCUGGGCCUGUACUGACGCUGAGGAGCGAAAGCGUGGGGAGCGAACAGG